Molecule: transfer RNA, 69 nt
Filed under: Myotis davidii
Lineage: Eukaryota; Metazoa; Chordata; Mammalia; Chiroptera; Vespertilionidae
Rfam family: tRNA
About the family: Transfer RNA (tRNA) molecules are approximately 80 nucleotides in length. Their secondary structure includes four short double-helical elements and three loops (D, anti-codon, and T loops).
Source: Rfam by way of RNAcentral
GCCCUGGCUCAGUGGAUAGAGCGUCGGCCUGUGGACUGAAGGGUCCUGGUUCGAUUCCCGGUCAGGGCA